CACGCCGUAAACGAUGACAACUAGCUGUCGGGGCACUUGGUGCUUCGGUGGCGCAGCUAACGCAUUAAGUUGUCCGCCUGGGGAGUACGGCCGCAAGGUUAAAACUCAAAGGAAUUGACGGGGGCCUGCACAAGCGGUGGAGCAUGUGGUUUAAUUCGAAGCAACGCGCAGAACCUUACCAGCGUUUGACAUGGUAGGACGACUUCCAGAGAUGGAUUUCUCCCUUCGGGGCCUACACACAGGUGC
RNAcentral lists this ribosomal RNA (246 nucleotides) under uncultured Sphingomonadaceae bacterium. RNAcentral's name for it is "partial 16S ribosomal RNA". It matches the Rfam family "Bacterial small subunit ribosomal RNA", at positions 796 to 1041 of the family's 1533-position model. The record is from RNAcentral. Lineage: Bacteria; Pseudomonadati; Pseudomonadota; Alphaproteobacteria; Sphingomonadales; Sphingomonadaceae.